GGGGCUGGGGCUCAGGGGUAGAGCACAUGCCUGGUAGGCGUGAGGCACUGGGUUCGAUUCUCAGCACCGCAUCA
Molecule: transfer RNA, 74 nt
Filed under: Marmota monax (woodchuck)
Lineage: Eukaryota; Metazoa; Chordata; Mammalia; Rodentia; Sciuridae
Description: tRNA.Thr
Rfam family: tRNA
About the family: Transfer RNA (tRNA) molecules are approximately 80 nucleotides in length.
Source: RNAcentral